GCACUGCCGAGGAGUCCCACAAUAGGACGAAACGGCUGUCCAGUGU
Molecule: non-coding RNA, 46 nt
Filed under: Schistosoma margrebowiei
Lineage: Eukaryota; Metazoa; Platyhelminthes; Trematoda; Strigeidida; Schistosomatidae
Source: RNAcentral